AUUUCAGACUUCGUUGCCUUGUUCUGAGAUACUCAUCCGCGUCUAUUGGAGGGUUUCAGCGAGCAAGUCAAUCUUCAAGUUGGGAGCAGACAUAUUGGGAGAACCUACUGAUAACUCAAAAAUGCCCCUUUUCUGUGAAUGUUCUGCUGCCCAUUGCUGAGAUUCUGUAGCCAUCAUAUCAAACAGUUCAAAUGCCUCUCUUGCAGAUUUAUUUGACAAUGAUCCUCCUGCUUAUGCAUUCACAUGGCUCUUAGAUGUAGGAUUAAGCCCAUCAAAGAAAAUAUUCAUUUGUGUAUCUGAAUCAAUUUUAACAUGUGGACACUUUAUGUACAUCUCUGUAUAUCUCUCCCACGCUUCAUGAAACUCUUCAUUAGGCUUCGUGUAAAUGUCAAAAUCUCCCUCUUGAAAUUCA
Molecule: long non-coding RNA, 412 nt
Organism: Prunus dulcis (almond)
Lineage: Eukaryota; Viridiplantae; Streptophyta; Magnoliopsida; Rosales; Rosaceae
Exons: 2
Source: RefSeq, a predicted model, not a curated record